RNAcentral lists this ribosomal RNA (400 nucleotides) under uncultured bacterium. Its description in RNAcentral is "bacterial SSU rRNA". It matches the Rfam family "Bacterial small subunit ribosomal RNA", at positions 355 to 747 of the family's 1533-position model. The record is from RNAcentral.
CUAAGAAUCUUCCGCAAUGGACGAAAGUCUGACGGAGCGACGCCGCGUGGGUGAUGAAGGCGGAAACGUUGUAAAGCCCUUUUAUAGGCGAGGAAUAAGAUCAGGAGGGAAUGCCUGGUCGAUGACGGUAGCCUGUGAAUAAGCCCCGGCUAAUUACGUGCCAGCAGCCGCGGUAACACGUAUGGGGCGAGCGUUGUUCGGAAUUAUUGGGCGUAAAGGGUGCGCAGGCGGUUCAAAAAGUCUGGUGUUAAAUCCCGCAGCUUAACUGCGGACAGGCAUCGGAAACUGUUGGACUAGAGUUCUGGAGGGGUAGCUGGAAUUCCAGGUGUAGGGGUGAAAUCUGUAGAUAUCUGGAAGAACAUCAAUGGCGAAGGCAAGCUACUGGCCGUGAACUGACGCU